RNAcentral lists this transfer RNA (67 nucleotides) under Gonepteryx rhamni (common brimstone butterfly). RNAcentral's name for it is "tRNA-Val". The record is from RNAcentral. RNAcentral also lists the same sequence under 2 other names. Lineage: Eukaryota; Metazoa; Arthropoda; Insecta; Lepidoptera; Pieridae.
CAAAUUAGAGCUUGAUAAAGCAUUUCAUUUACAUUGAAAAGAAAUUAUAGUUAAAUAAUUAAUUUGA